Molecule: long non-coding RNA, 9695 nt
Filed under: Homo sapiens (human)
Lineage: Eukaryota; Metazoa; Chordata; Mammalia; Primates; Hominidae
Description: non-protein coding lnc-C10orf90-2:5
Source: RNAcentral
GGCGCGGACCCUGGGCCCCGACCCCGCGGUCGCCGGGGCUCCCCUUCCUCUGUCCCAGUGCGCCCAGCCCCGCGCUCCGCACCCGGGCACCCCCGCGGGGUUCUCCUGAGUUCCUGGAGCUCCCGGGGCUGGCGCUCACGCCGUGAGAGGGGUGCGCCCUUAGGGGGGCGGGACGGACGGGGGGUUUCUACGGGAGGUAGGAAACGGGCGGCUUGCAAGGCGCGGGCUUAGGCCGGAGCCUGGUGGUGCGAGGUCCCCAGCUCGGAUUUCUCCCUGGUGGAGAGUCCCGGAGCAGAACAAACCAGCAGAGGCUCUGGAAAGGGUCCUCCUGAGCACGUGGCUCAUUCAUUCAUUCGACAAACGUUACCUGAGCGCCUGCCCACUCAUUGCCCGAGUGUGCUGGGAGCGCCGCACCAACUGCCUGGUAGGUGGGAGAAGGGACACGUCAGGUAACAAACAGCACAGAAAAGAGAGGUUAAAACCAAGACAUGGACAAAGCCUCCGAAUGAAGGCAGCCCUUUAAAUGGAAUAAAUUUGGUUUCAUGGCACAUUAAUGGGGUGUCUUCUCUCCGAAGACACAGAGACAACUACAGUAGGUCUGGGGGCCGUCAGGGAUUGGAGGAACGAAGGUAAGAAAAGGAAGAAGGUAAGAAAAAGAGGUCCCUACCUCUGUGAGGUAGGGACAGUGCUGAACAGCAGGGCUGGGAGAGCCCACAGGGAGGUGGCCAGGAUGGCCACAGGGCCUGGGGAGGACCAGGUGGGGCACCAUCCUGCGGUAGAGAAUGCCCGUCACCUGCCCUAGGGGCCACCCAGAAUGCAGAUUAAAUAAGUAUUUGGGAAUGGCACAGGAGCUUUUCCAUUUUCGUGGGUUAGAGGAAAGCUGCUGCGUUCAAGAGGAUAACGUGGGACCUGAGCAUUCUGGUAAGUCAACCCCACAUUCAUGGAAAGCCACGGGCUCUGUUUUACUGAUAAGGAACUGAAGUCCCACAGAGGAAGUGGCCAGGCUCACUCACACACAGCAUGCACUUGAAGCUUUCUGUGGAAAUCAGAAACCUCCGGGGCUCAGGCGCUGUAGUGGUGGCCUGGUGACUCUGACCCCUUGAAGGAGAAGCAUCUGUGAAGGUGCUGUCCAGGACAAGUAGGGUGCUCUACGGUAAAGGACAUGGUGGCCUGACCUGCUCCAGAGCAGGGAGGCCUCCCUUGAGGAAAUAAGAUAAACCCAGACUUUAAGGAUAAGCAGAAACCAGCUAGGUGAACUGGAGUGGGAACAGCACGUGAAAAGGCCCUGGUUUAGGAAGGAGCACCACUCCUUCAGAGCACAGAAAGGCCAGGAUGGCCGAAGCAUAGGGAACAACAGGAAAGUGACAUAAAUUGAGGCUGCAGAGGUAGAAGAAGGGCCUUAUUGGUCGUGCUAGGAAUUUGGAAUUCUGCAAAGAAGCCUGGGAAACAGAUUUUGGUGACACUCGCCUUCUCUUUAAUGUGCAGUUUCAGUUCUGUUGGUGUGAUUCUGCAUUGGAGAUGGCGUGCUGUAACGAAUGGCCAGGAGCUUAAGAGUCAUGCAGACUUGGGAGGCCUGGCCUUGCCACGCCCAGCUGCAUGGCCAUCCUCCUCCUGUUUCUGGCCGUUCUGUUUCUAAACCUUGGGGUUCUGAUAUUCCUACAUGUAAACUAGGGGCUGUAAUAGGAAUCUCACAGGUGAGUCUUAGGAUUAUAAGAGGAGACAUGACUGCAUGUGUAAGACAUCAUAAUGAUGUGCUUCCUCAUCUGACCCUACCUCCAGGUUCUUUGAUAACCUCAUGGUUCCCAUUUUCUAGAACAGUUGCCACUUGCACUCAGAUAAAGGUGACUCACUGAAUGCAUAAAUAAGUGUAGUGCCGGAUUUGCAUACUUUUGGUAGACUGUCAUAUAAUAAAUUUAUAAAUCAGAAUUUUAAAACUCCAGGUGGGGCCGGGCACAGUGGCCCAUGCUUGUAAUCCCAGCCAGCAUUUUGGGAGGCUGAGGCAGGCAGAUCACUUGAGGUCAGGAGCUCGAGGUCAGCCUGGCCAACCAGGGUUUUAGUAGAAACCCUGUCUGUACUAAAAAUACAAAAAUUAGCUGGGCGUGGGUGCGCAUACCUGUAGUCCCAGCUACUCAGGAGGCUGAGGCAGGAGAAUUGUUUGAACCCAGGAGGUGGAGAUUGCAGUGAAGCAAGAUCGCACCGCUGCACUCCUGCCUGGGUGACAGAGUGAGACUCCAUCUCAAAAACAAACAAAACAAAACUCCAGGUGGACCACGGGCCAGGUGGUUGUAGCUUCAGUCCCUUGAUUGCAACAUGUGCCCAAGUUUGGCUGAGAUGUACCUGUAGCCACGGUCCUUGAAGCCCUGAGAAGAUUUGUCAGCAUCCCCACGGUGCUCCAGCAGUGCUCUCAUCUUGUGGCUCUAAAUCGAGUCCAUGGCCCUCUCUCACUGUCCUAUGGUUGCAUAAGCUCAGAACUGGCUUCGUCUCCAAUUCCAGGAGCCCUGGAGGUUGUGGCCUGUUGACAUUUUUACCUCCUGAGUCAAUGUGGCUGGGCCACAGGUCUCAGUUGCCCUCCCAGGCAUCUUGCAGGACUUGGAUCUGUGCCAAGCUUGUGGGUGUGAACAAGCCCAAGAAUGCUGAGGCUCUCAGUUGCUCAGUGCUGCCCAUCACUGGGAUUUCAGAGUAGUGACCCCCCUCCUCCAAGAUACAACAGAAUCUUGCUUUGGGGCCAUGAAGAACACAAUCAAUAUUACAGUUUUAAAUCUUGAAAAGUACAGUUUUAAUUUUUUUAAUUCCAAAAAAUUUCACACAUGUGCACUGCAAAUUCAGGAGGUAAAUUCAGCAAAAUCUUGCCUGGUGGAGGUACCAGAAGGCACAGUGAGUCAAUGGGGCAUGUUUCUCAGUCGGUGGGGAGAGAUGAGAAUGGAACAGGGAUGUGGAGAUUUUAUGCAGGAAAAGGGGCCUGACCACAGAUUUUUUGCCCUUUGAAAGGAGAGGAACAAGGCCUAUGCCCACUGCCUCUUGGAUUCAGUGGGAGAUCUGGGCAUCAUACUGGAUGACCAGGCAUGUAGUCACAAUGCACAAUGCCACCCAGCCCAAAAGUGUAUAUUCAAGACUUUAGACCCAACUUCGUGCUUACAGGAAAUAGAGGAGGUUGAGGAACAAGUGACACCAUAAGAAAUACAGUGAAACAGGCCAGGCACCGUGGCUCAUGCCUGUAACUCUGAGCACUUUGGGAGGCCGAGAUGGGCAGAUCACCUGAGGUCAGGAGUUCAAGACUAGUCUGGCCAACGUGGUGAAACCCCAUCUCUACUAAAAAAAAAUAUCUGGGCAUGGUGGCAGGCACCUGUAAUCCCAGCUACUCAAGAGGCUGAGGCAUGAGAAGCACUGGAACCCGGGAGGCCGAGGUUGCAGUGAACAGAGAUCGUGCCAUUGCACUCCAGCCUGGGGGAACAAGAGUGAAACUCCAUCUCAAAAAAAAAAAAAAAAGACACUGAAACAAAGCCAGAAGGUAGAAUAUUCUUUCAGGUAGUAGUCUGGUCUCUUCAAUAGUCAAUAUUAUAGAGCAAGAAGGGGCCAGUGGAGAAGAGCUGUUCUAGAUUUUAAAAGAUGUAAGAAAUACAACAUUUGGCCGGGCGCGGUGGCUCACGCCUGUCAUCCCAGCACUUAGGUAGGCCGAGGUGGGCGGAUCAUGAGGUCAGGAGAUCGAGACCAUCCUGGCUAACAUGGUGAAACCCCGUCUCUACUAAAAAUAGAAAAAAUUAGCCGGGCAUGGUGGCAUGCACCUGUAGUCCCAGCUACUCAGGAGGUUGAGGCAGGAGAAUGGCGUGAACCCGGGAGGCGGAGCUUGCAGUGAGCCGAGAUCGCGCCACUGCACUCCAGCCUGGGUGACAGAGCAAGACUCCAUCUCAAAAAAAGAAAAGAAAAGAAAUACAACAUUUAAAUGCACUGUGUUAUCCUUAAUUGGAAACUGCUUUAAUUAUCCAACACUAAAAAAAUGUCAAGGGCAAGAGGUGGUUUGAACUAUGGACUGGUGUUAGAUGAUGUAUUUUUUUUAUUUUGUUAAGUAUAAUAAUAGUUGUUAUGGUUAGGUGGGAAAAGAUCCUUAAAUUUUAGAGCUGCAUGCUGGAGUAUUUAGAAGUGAACCGUCAUUGUAUUUGUUAUUUAAAAUACUACAGGAAUAAACAAGAUGAAGCAAAAUUGCUCAGUCUAGAUAUGGGUCUAUGAGUGUUUCAUCUUUCUACUUUUUUCUCCAUGUUUGAAAUCCUUGGUAAAAUAAAGUCAAAGUGGAGGAAGGAGGAGCUUGAGAUUGAAAAAUCAGUUUGAGAAGCAGCCACCUUGACUGGCUUCACUCUAAUAGCCUGGACGCUGCCUCCACACUCCAGGUGCACUGCUCAGCAUUCUCCAAGAAGAUCAUUAAGGCAGACCCUACGUGUUAAAUUUCAAUCAGUUUCAUUGAGCAAAUAUGCUGUUAAAUAGAGACUGCUGUGUGCUGCGUCAGUGUGCCUUAUGGGCAAAUGUGAUGGUGACUAUAAAUGCAGACCAAGCAGUCCUUCCCACACUGUGUACACAAAGAAAGGAGCUCUGGAACUGGGAGCCAGGACAUCUGCAGGAGGAGAAUUCUGAAGUGAAAGGAGGCCUGGAUAUUGGUUGCAAGGCCUUGUCCCUGGAGCCUGGAUGCUCUCAUACCUUCUACAUCUGGGCCUCUGGGUCCAGGACAGUGCCAGGGAGAGUUCAUAGAAACAAAUGUGUUGAAGACCUUAGCGGUUGUCUGACUCUGAGACAGUUACCUGGCCACUCUUAAGUUUCCUCAUUUUUUUUUUAAUUUUACUUUAAGUUGCGGGAUACAUGUGCAGAACGUGCAGGUUUGUUACAUAGGUAUGCAUGUGCCAUGGUGGUUUGCUGCACCUGUCAACCUUUCAUCUAGGUUUUAAGCCCCUCAUGCAUUAGAUAUUUGUCCUAAUGCUCUCCUUCCCCUUGGCCCCCUGUCAGGUCCUGGUGUGUGUGUUGUCUGGCCCCCACCGUGUCCAUGUGUUCCUAUUGUUCAUCUCCCAUUUAUGAGUGAGAAUAUGUGGUGUUUGGCUUUCUCUUCCUGUGUUAGUUUGCUGAGGAUGAUGGUUUCCAGCUUCAUCCAUGUCCCUGCAGAGGACAUGAUCUCAUCCUUUUCAUGGCUGCAUAGUAUUCCGUGUUGUGUAUAUACCACAUUUUCUUUAUCCAGUCUUUCAUUGGUGGACAUUUGGGUUGGUUUCAUGUCUUUGCUAUUGUAAAUAGUGCUGCAAUAAACAUUAUGUGUGCAUGUGUCUUUAUAGUAAAAUGAUUUCUAUUCCUUUGGGUAUAUACCCAGCAAUGGGAUUACUGGGUCACAUGAUAUUUUUUGGUUCUAGGUCCUUGAGGAAUCGCCACACUGUCUUCCACAAUGGUUGAACUAAUUUACGUUCCCACCAUCAGUGUAAAAGUGUUCCUAUUUCUCCACAGCCUCACCAGCAUCUACUGUUUCUUGACUUUUUAAUCACUGCCAUUCUGACUGGCAAGAUUUCCUCAUUUUUAAGAUAGUGUGACUUCUAGGGUGUUGUGAAGAUUUAAUGAAAUAAUGGUAGCAGAGCUUAGCCCAGGUAAGGACUCUGGAUGAAACAAUGGUUUUCCUACGCUGGACAUCAGGUGGUGCAGGACUGUGAUCCCUGAAAGGAGUAAAACAACUGAGGUGCACCCUGUGGUUGCCCAGCUUCCUUCCUGGAGGCAGCUUUGGGCUGCGCACAGGAGGGAGAACUCAACUGAACCCUGAGUCUCACUGGGUGGAAAAAGAUAAUGGAGUUCAGAGAAGCGAAGUCACUAGGAUUCGCAGGUCAGAGUACCCAGGAUGAGGGAGCUGCUCACCCAAAGAGAGAACACCAGAGUUCUGCAGAAGGGCCACCCUAAGUCUCUGUCUGAAUGCUGAUCUCUGCAUCUGUGGAGUGAAGCUCCGUGAGGCUGGCAGCAGAAAGGACACCAGAGAGUACCAGGCCUGGAAUAAUUCAGAAAACUCACACAGUACUCAAUGUUCCCUCCAGCCAGUGUGGAAAUACCUCACAAUAUAGAGGGUAUCAGGCAAAGUCCUCCAAAAGAUCACAGCUUUAAACCAAAGGCUACUCUGGUAAGUAAUAAAACUUAAAAGCCAACUCAAGAGAAUGAAACUGAGCUCAAGUUACUUGCUGCAUGCUGGAAUGAAGUACAGCAGUGUUUAAUCACAACAAUGUAAAAUCACAAUGUCUAGCAUCCAGUCAAAAAUUACUAGCCAUGCAAAGAUGCCAGAAAAUAUGGCCCCCAACCAGGGGAAAAAGUCAGUAGAAACAAAUGCAGAAAUGACAAGGAUGAUGGAAUUAGCAGACAGAGGCCUGAAAACAGUGUUAUAAAUACACUCUAUGUGACCAGAGAGAUAGAGGAAACUAUGAACAUAAUAAGGAAAGAACCAGAGGCCAGGGAAGCCAGAGCCAGUGCUUUCAUGGGAGCUGCGAUUGUCAUGUGGGACUGGUGUAGAUGAUCUCUGAGGUCCCUAAUUCUAGCCAGCAAAUUCUGGUAUUCUCAGUUUCUUCCUUUUAAACUUAGGCAGAAGUGAUCCUUCCUAUCUCUGGUUGGGAGCACUCACUGUUGCUACUGUUCUGAGCUCUGCGAAUUAUAGUGGCUGCCUACUGUAACUGUGUCCCCACUCACUCCUCUUUUGGUAACACCAUCCUGAUUGUUCUUUGGGGAUCCACUAUUAUGGGCUGAAUGAUGUCCCCCCAAAAUGCAUAUGUUAAAGUCCUAAUCCCCAGUACCUGAGAGUGUGACUGUAUUUUGGAGAUAGAGCCUUGAAAGAGGUCAUUAAGGUAAAAUGGGUGAGCACUAAUCCAAUUUGAUUGAUGUCAUCACAAGCAGAGGAAAUUUAGGGCUGGGCCAGGUGCUCAUACCUGUAAUCCCAGCACGUCGGGAGGCCAAGGUGGGAGGAUCACUUGAGGCCAGGAGUUUGAGACCAGCCUGAGCAACAUAGUGAGAUCCUGUCUCUACAAAUGAAAAAGAGGAAAUUUGUACUCACAUAGAGACACUAGGGCUGCACACACAUACAGACCAUGUGAGGAGAAGGUGGCCAUCUACAAGCCAAGGAGAAGAGGCCUCAGAGGAAACUCGAUCUGCCCACAACUUGAUCUCAGACCUCCAGCCUCCAGAACUGUGAGAAAAUGAUUUCUGUCGUUUAAGCCUCCCAGUCUGUGAUAUUCUAUUCUAGAAGCUCCAGGAAACUAGUACAUCCACCCUCCCCUACUCCCAGUCCAAGAAGUUCAGGAGGGACAGACCCUCCCCUUCCCACUGCCUGCUAGGGGUUGUCUCAUGACCCAGGUCCUGGCAAUCAGUGAAUGCCAUUGUUCUUGGCCCAGCACUUAAUUCAGGGACCCAUCUAUUGACUCAGUUUAGAGUUUCUGAUGGACCUGAAGGAACAAGACACUCUCUUCCGUGGACUUUUCAGUUACAUGAAACACGCAUGACUUUUUUUGUUGUUGUUUUUUGUUUUUUGUGUUUUUUUUUGAGACAGAAUCUCUGUCGCCCAGGCUGGAGUGCAGUGGCACGAUCUCGGCUCAUUGCAACCUGCACCUCCUGGGUUCAAGCGAUUCUCCUGCCUCAGCCUCCCGAGUAGCUGGGACUACAGGCGCCCGCCACUAUGCCUGGCUAAUUUUUGUAUUUUUAGUAGAGACAGGGUUUCACCAUAUUGGCCAGGCUGGUCUUGAAUUCCUGACCUCAUGAUUCGCCCACCUCAACCUCCCAAAGUGCUGGGAUUACAGGUGUGAGUCACCACGCCUGGCCUUUUUUCUUAAAACUAUUUGAACUGAGUUUAUGCACUAACGGUAGAAAAAAGCCAUGACUAUAAAAUUGCAGGGCUUGGGUCAAACAGAUGUCAGGAGGCUCCAAGUUCAGCCACCUCCUAAUCAUAACACCUUAAAUGAAUGAGUCUCAGCCUCAGUCUCCAAUUCUGAACUAAUCCUUGCCUUGUAGGAUGGUUGGAAAGAUUCAACAAAAAAGAAUGCACUGGCACAUCGUAGGUGCUCAGUACACAUGGCUGGCGUUUCUCCUUGCUGACUCUGCAGUCCCCUGCACAGGAGCUGUGAGGCUGCCCUCUGUCGUACAUCCUCACCCAGAGCCAUCCCAAAGGCUAAGGACAGGAUGGGGGCUGCAGAGCUGGGGGCUGGCCAUACUCCAGGGUCUGGCUGUCACCAUCUGAAGGUUCAAACCACAGCUGCUGCAGCUUCCUCUUCAGAGCCUCGGAGCCUGAUUCCUUUACCCAGGAGGGUCCUUGUGAACAUGCCAAGCUUCCCAGUUACUGCCAGAGUCUGGAUGAGUUCCUACCGUGUGCCAGACCUCCCAUCUUCCCAUGGUUGGAUGAGUGCCUACUGCGUGCCAGAUCUUAACAUUCAUCCCACGGUUCUGCUGAUACAUCAGAAGGCACACUGGGGGCAGGCUCCAGAGGUGUGAUUCAAGGAAGUCCAACACACAAACCCACACCUUUCCCCUCCUCGGACAUGACUGCAGGCUUAAGGUGUCCAGAAGAAAGAGAAACUCCUACUAGCUGGAGGAACUGGGGAAAGUGGACCAAGAGGUGACCUCUGGGGGCAAGGGCGGGCGUGAUGGAAACACGUCAUUCCAGGCAGAAGGAACGGUCCUUGUUGGCAGAGUGCUCAGUGCCUGGGACUGGAGGAUGGGGGUAGGUGGACAGUGAGUGGCAGGAUAUGGGGCCAGAGGGUUGGGGUCUGAGAUCACUGAGCCCAGGGAGUAGCACAAUCUGAAACUAUGCCUUAGGGAGCUCACCCUGGUGGCAGUAGGGAAGAUAGACUGCGGAGGGAAAAAACUGGAAUCCGGGAAAUGGGUUAAGGUGUUUGUGGAAUGAAUGUCUAAAGAAAGGAAGGAAGGACUGAAUAAAUGGGGGUCUUGAGCAACUCGGCCUCCCUUCUGGGUGCUGCAGGGGCUGUGUAUGGCACGGAGAGAUACAAGCCCAAGUGCCCUGCCCUGGGCACCAGCUGACCUGGCCCAUGUAAGGGAGCAGCUGAUUGACAGUGGAGAAUACGUAGCAAUCCCAAUUAACCUUUUUUUGAACCUGGACAAGCCAUCUGAAAGUAAGCAUCACAGGGCACCCACUCCCAGACCUUUUCCCAGAAGAGAACACGCCAAGGACCUUCAAAUAUAUUCGCAAACCCGUUACUGGGCUCUGUCUUUCUGGUUCCAUGGCUGGGCCCUGAAUCAGGCGCUGCAGAGCCACCCAGGGGACCCAAGGUCAGCGGUGGAGUCAUGAGAACAUCUGAGGCAGGACCACAGCCAGAUGCAGGCAGGUAAACACACUGCUCCCUGCUUGGCUGUCAUCCAGGAACCAGGACCGGACCACAGGAAAUGAGGAAGUCACUUUUGGGCCAAGCCAGAUGCACAACCAGGCCUAGCAGGAGGCUGUGGAGCACACAGGGCCCAGCUCAGGUGGGAACUGAGUGUACAGUGCACUGAGUGCUGGGCAUCGCAGGCCUUGGGGACACAAUGAUGGCCAAGAGAUGUUUCUGCCUCCCCCCGGGAGCUCCUGGUCCAGAGGGAACAAGAGACUAGGAAAAGCUACAGUGGAAAGGUGUGCAUGCAAGGUAGAGUAGAUACAGCUGGGGCCAUGAGUCUGAAAACGAGCCACUGUUCCACCAUCUGAAGGACUUUGGGCACAUCCA